This 78-nucleotide small RNA is filed under the name Flavobacterium hercynium. Its description in RNAcentral is "Flavo-1 RNA". It matches the Rfam family "Flavo-1 RNA". Lineage: Bacteria; Pseudomonadati; Bacteroidota; Flavobacteriia; Flavobacteriales; Flavobacteriaceae. The record is from Rfam by way of RNAcentral.
UUCUAGCCCCGAUAGUAGUGAAAAUCCUUUUGUGCCGGGGUUCGGCACAAAAGAUUAAAACGGAUAGCGGGAAUAGCU